AGCCAUGCAAGCUCAGAAGUGAGUUAAUUCUCAAAUCUGCGAAAGGCUCCGUAUAACUGUUAUAACCUACUGUGUUACACAAUAUAUGGAUAAUACCAGUAAAUCCGAUAAUAAUACAUUGGAAAAAUGCAGGAAUCAGAGUAGCUUUUGAAAGGAAUUUUCCAAUCGUUAAUCUAAAAAUUCUCGUGCAAGAAUCUUCCUAUAAAUCUCAUGGCGAAAUGAUGGAGACUCUCAUUAUAAAUAGUGAAUAUGUAUGGGAUCAAAAAUAUAUUUGCUGUACAUAUAUUCCAAUAAAUAAUUAAAUCAUCUCCCUAUGAUUUAAAUAAAAUUAUUAUUAAUGCAACAGCUUUAUAUUCCCCUCACAGCCACAUGGAAUAAAUGAGAGAUUAAGCUCUUGAUAUAUAUUGGUAAUUCAUUACUAUAGUAGAUAUACAAUCACAAUGGGUUUCAGUCCUAUCAGCUAGAUGGUAGGGUAUUGGCCUACCAUGGCGUUUACGGGUACAGAGGAUCAGGGUUCGAUCCUGGAGAGGUAGCCUGAGAAAUAGCUACCACUUCUAAGGAAGGCAGCAGGCGCGCAACGUUCCCAAUGGCUGAAAGGCUGAGGACGUUAUGGAACAUAGCAAUACUUCACAUUAGUGAGGCAAUUGAAAUGGGGGAGGUUUAAAUCACCCACCGAGUAACAAUUGGAGGACAAGUCU
This 698-nucleotide ribosomal RNA is filed under the name Alwisia bombarda. RNAcentral's name for it is "bacterial SSU rRNA". It matches the Rfam family "Eukaryotic small subunit ribosomal RNA", at positions 47 to 562 of the family's 1831-position model. The record is from RNAcentral. Lineage: Eukaryota; Evosea; Eumycetozoa; Liceales; Reticulariaceae.